This 253-nucleotide ribosomal RNA is filed under the name uncultured bacterium. RNAcentral's name for it is "partial 16S ribosomal RNA". It matches the Rfam family "Bacterial small subunit ribosomal RNA", at positions 524 to 776 of the family's 1533-position model. The record is from RNAcentral.
UACGUAGGUGGCGAGCGUUGUCCGGAUUUACUGGGCGUAAAGAGCGCGCAGGCGGGUGGGCAAGUCCGAUGUGAAAGCUUCCGGCUUAACUGGAAAAUUGCAUCGGAAACUGCUCGGCUUGAAGGUGGGAGAGGGUAGCGGAAUUCCCGGUGUAGUGGUGAAAUGCGUAGAUAUCGGGAGGAACACCAGUGGCGAAGGCGGCUACCUGGCCCACUCUUGACGCUGAGGCGCGAAAGCUAGGGGAGCAAACGGG